GCUUGUCUCAAAGAUUAAGCCAUGCAUGUCUAAGUGUAAAUACGUCUACACUGUGAAACUGCGAAUGGCUCAUUAAAUCAGUUAUCGUUUAUUUGAUGAUCUCUUGUUACAUGGAUAACCGUAGUAAUUCUAGAGCUAAUACAUGCAUCAAAACCAGUAAUGGUUGUAUUUAUUAGAUUGAAACCGAUGCGGGGUAACCCGGAUUUUGGUGAUUCAUAAUAACUUUCGGAGCGAGUAAUCGCUGCAUCAUUCAAGUUUCUGCCCUAUCAGCUUUGGAUGGUAGGGUAUUGGCCUACCAUGGCUUUAACGGGUAACGGAGAAUUAGGGUUCGAUUCCGGAGAGGGAGCCUGAGAAAUGGCUACCACAUCCAAGGAAGGCAGCAGG
This 384-nucleotide ribosomal RNA is filed under the name uncultured Chrysophyceae. RNAcentral's name for it is "partial small subunit ribosomal RNA". It matches the Rfam family "Eukaryotic small subunit ribosomal RNA", at positions 30 to 432 of the family's 1831-position model. The record is from RNAcentral. Lineage: Eukaryota; Chrysophyceae.